Molecule: long non-coding RNA, 12453 nt
Filed under: Theobroma cacao (cacao)
Lineage: Eukaryota; Viridiplantae; Streptophyta; Magnoliopsida; Malvales; Malvaceae
Description: long non-coding RNA (TCAC_LNC005200)
Source: RNAcentral
CCGGCCAAACCAAGAGCAAAGAAGAACAAAGGGAGAAAAGAAAAACAAAAACCCUAGGUGGAGAAAUUCAAGGGAAAAUUAGUGAAAAUUCAAGGAAACAAGUGACAAAAGGUAAAAUUUCUUGAUUUUGACUUAUGAUCUACCUUUUUCAUGCAUUUCUCCUCAUUUUUCAUGGUUAAAUUACACGUUUUCAUGAUGAAUUCAUGGCUGGUUGGAAUGGGUAUGGAGAGAGAAUGAUGUUAGAUUGAUUUGAUUUUAAGUUAUGUUAGUGUUUUUAGUUAGUUAAGCAUGUUUAGAAACAAAACAACAAGAAAAGAAUCUAUUUUCCCCAUAAACCUUCAAUGGCAGAACCCUAUGUGAAGUGUAUAAGUAAUGAAUUGAUUUUGUGAUCAAGUGAAUUGGUUGAAAAAUUGAUGAAAUGAUGAUUUAUGGUGAGAAAAUGGAAUGGGAAAAUUUUUAGUGAUAGUGCACCACAAUGGCCAAAAUUUUCAAGAAGAAUUGUGAGGGUUGUUAGAUUGAAUUUUAGAUUAUUGGAAUUGUAUUUAGUGAAUUGAAAUAUUAGAAAUGAAAUGGAGCAAUUUGGAGCCAAAUCGGACACAAUUGUCAUUUAAUCAAGUAAUAGACCGAAUUAGGUCAGCACUGCAUUUAAGCGAUAGUAGAAUAAGUUGCAUAUCAUAUCAUGCAUAUACACCGUGCCUGAAUUGAUUUUAUAAUGGUCAAGCAUUGAUGUGGUGAAUUAUGUAUUGUACAUUGUGGAUAGGUGGUGAGUAAAUUACACUGAUAAAAGUACAGAGAUUGUUCUUGGAGACUGGGAUUAGGAGUACAUUGACUCUUAGAACUGUGAGUAAACUUAUUAUCGUCUUAAUUAUCUAGAGUAGUUUUAUACAAUUGUGUGAUUUUAUGAAAAAUGGGUUUAAAUGGUAAAUUGCUAUGUUUUAGGAGAAAUUGUGAUUUUAUAAAUUUUCUGAAAAAUUAAAUACUGGUUUUGAAAAUAGAGUAAUUGGAGACUGCCUGCUUGUGUUGUAAAUUUAUGGUUUUAAAUUGAAUGACUUAUGACAAUAUAUGAGCAUGAAUGGCUAAACUGAUUUUUGGUGUUAGAAUUAUUUGUACUGUGUAUUCAGUCUUGAGAUGCUAGGUUGCGAUAAAUUACCAUGUUAUGCAGAAAAAGAUUUUAUAAAUCAGGUGGUAGAUAAAAUAAUCCAUAGUCAUUGUAGUGGUGAGGGUUUUCGUGGACUGCCUAUGAGAGGGGCACGAUAACCUAAUUAUAUAUUUACCUUCGGAGGGAGAUGUUGGAUGAAGUAUCUCCUGAGGUAAAGAUUUGAGUACACUUCACGUGGACCACCGCGUGAGAGUGAGACUUAGCCAACACCAAGGCAUGGCUAAAAUUUCGGAUGUAAAGACAUUUAACAGCCUUGGCGGACUCGGUUGGGAUAACCCUCGAUCAAGGUAUCCCUGAUAAUUAAGUAUGAGAAUGAUUUUUUGGUACGAGCCAAGCUUUUCAGGAAAUCAUAAGCCUAUUUGUUUAUUUGGUUGAAAUGAGUUGAAAGGUAAUGAAAUUACAGUAUGAUGACUUAUUUUAAUUCGUCUCCAUUUACUCGCCUUUAGAUAGUUUAGAUGGUGUCUGUUUACUCAUUGGGAUUUUAUAAUCUCACCACCCUCAUUUCCUUACAUUUCAGGCUCAGGGAAUUACAUAGUUAGCUGACUUUGACAAGGACCUUCAUUUAGACUUGAAUCGGCAAAAGUUGUAGGUUUUCAGCUUCCAAUACAUUUUGGUUAGAUGUGGGCCCACGUGUCGUUGUAAAAGUAAUUUUAUGCUUUGGUUAUUUACUUUACAGUAUAUAUGAGUAUAAUUAAUUUUUACGCUAUAAGAAUUAUUUACCAAUAGCUUUAUAAAAAUUAUUUUACAAGAAAAUAGUUUAUUUUAUUGAAUAUUUUUAUUAUAUUUAAAUGGUCAAAUUUUCACUUCAAAUGAACGUUUUAGAUACUUAAUUUGUUUUUAAAUCACUAAAUAUAUAUUUUCUGCCUACCUACUACAUUUUUAGCAAGUUUUAAGAUUUUCGACGAAAAAUGACAAAAAUGCCCCUGUGAGCCAGAAAACAAUAUAUUAUGUUCUAAUUUGGAAACGACUCUUAAUCCUUCAAAUUACGAUAUUUGAUAACUAUUGCUCACUGGGAAAGUGCGAAAGCUGAUACGAGAGCCUUGCGAGGUUUCGAUCGGCAUUCGGGGUGAAGAAUGUCUGUCGAGGCUUCGCGGCGAUUAUCACAAGCUCGAUGGGAGUUCCGGUCGUGACAAAAACAACCAACAAAUCCAAGCUUUUGUCAACAAAAAUCUCGAAAGAAUAUUCCGUCAAUCAAAUAUUGAUGAAAAUUUCUAUCAGUAUUUUUGUCGAUAAUGAAACAUACCGAUGGAAUCUAAACUUUUACCAACAAAAAUUUCUGUCGAUAAUACCUUAUUUUUUUUAAUAACACAAUCUGAAAACAUCGUAAAACUUGCUUCAUAUUAAACAAACAAUCCAAAUUUAAUUGACAAAACAAGAAAAUAUCAUCUGCGUAAAGUCAAACCUCUAUCUUCAAUGAAAAUACCAUUACAAAUUUAUUCUUCCUUUGCUUUCACCAUUAGACAACUAAAAACUUCUGAAAUCAUAUUAAACAAAAAAAGAGAUGAGGUGAUUGACAUAUGGCAUUGUUGCGUAAAUCAUUCCAAAUCAAUUGUAAUGUGGGCAUGCUAAUAAAAAAUUAAUGGCUAUUAAACUUAAUGCAUUUUCUAUCUAAAUGACAUAUGAAGUGGUUAAGUGAAUCAUUCCGCAUCAAUUGUUAUGUGGGCAUGUCAGUUGCGACAUGGAUGGAAACUAUUAUUUAAUAUUAGGUGUGAUGGUUAUUAAUUUUUCACUAGAAUUAAAAACUUGUGUGAGUUUAGUUUAAAAGAUAAAAAUAUGUUUGGAUACAACAAAAAAAUAUAAACAAACACAAUUAAAGGUUUUUUUUAAUACUUAAGGUUUUAAAUUAUCAAUACAGUUAUCAUUUACUUUACAUUUAGUCUUUUCAUUUUGUUUAUUUAUUUAUAGGACUAAGUGAUAAUUCUAUUUUAUAGAAUUAUUUUAGUCUAAUUUUAUAUUAAAUAUUUGCAAAGUCCUUACUUUUCAAUUAUAAUUUAGUUAUUUUUAGUUGCUUUUAUAAUUAGUUUAUUUUUAAGUGAGUUAUUUUGAUUUUAUAUUUAUUUCUUUUAAUUUAGAUAUUAUUUGUUAGUUUUAUGUUUUUGUAAGAAUUAAAGGAAUUGGGCUUAAUUUUGGAAAGUAAGGUUUUUGAAAUACCUAGAAUUCUACUUGCAUAUAUUUUGGUAUUUUGCUCAUAACUCUCGUUACAGAACUCCAAAUGAUAUGAUUCUUGAACCAUUGGAAAACUAAGAGACAAAACUAUGGAGAAAAUUAUAUCAGAUGAUGAUGAGGCAUACUGCUGCGGGAAUGGCAAUGUUGAGAGAUGAUAUUUGAUAUUUGGGCCUCAUUACACUAUUAAGCCCAAUAGUUAGAAUUAAUAGGUUAACUUAGGAACUUGUAGGUUAAGAUUAUUAGUAUAAAUAGGAUAUUUUUAGGAGAAAUUAAAGACAACUUUUGGAGAUUCAAGAGGUUGAAAGUUGAGGCAGAAACUUAGAAAGUAAAGCAGCAAUUAAUUGUUUUGUUUUCUUCCUUAGCUUUUAUUUUUCUUGUUACUCUCAAUGGUUGAAAUUUAUAUAAUGUUAUUUGUCUUUGCAAUUAUGCGUAGCUAAUUUUUUUUUCUAUGAUUGCAAUUGAACUCACAUUCAGUCUAAAUUUUUAAUCUCUUUCUUGCUUAUCCUUAAUGGAAUUUGUAUUGUUUAUUUUAAUUUCUUCUUAAUGCUUUUAAUUGCCUCCUCAUUAAUUAAAUUGAUUUAGGAACCUAAACAAACUUGGACAGGGACAUACCUAUAGGCCAUAUGUAGCCAAAUUAUAAUUUGAACUUAAUGAGUCUAUUUUAAUUUUAAUUCACAUUGGGAUAUAGUAUUUUGAUUAAAAUAGAUAUUUUUAUAAGACGAGUUGAAAGACCCUUAUAUAAUAUUAAGAACUUUAGGUUACCAAUUCAACCCAUUGAAAUAAGUUAAGGAAGAAAUGUAAGAUUUAAAUGAAGUGUGAGAGAUAUUGUAAUUCUAGGCUUGUUUGAUUUGAUUUUUUACUCGAUCUAUUAUUGUUUUGACUUUUCUUUCUAGUUUAGAUUUUGAUUAAUUAAUUUUUAAUUUAAUUAGAAUUCAUAUUUUAAUUAUUUGAAUAAAAUUAAAUUGUUUUAAUUUAGUACUUCAUAAAAUUUUAAAUCAAUUCUAUAUGAGAUCGAUAUUCAACUUACCGUUAUGCUAUAUUUUCAAUAUAUAUAUUUACGUAGGUAGAAAUUUAACUGACAAGUUUUUGACGCCAUUGCUCUCAGUUUGAGAGCCGCAAUCCUCAAAGCUUUUGUUUUGAAGCUUUUGUAGCCCACGGUUAGGGUCGCGGCUCUCAAAAUAAACAGUCGAUUCAACAUGAAAAGGUCAAAAAUUAAAUAAAUCAAAUUUCACUAUGACAUCGAUCAAAUUAACUAAAAUUUAAGAGAUACGUAUACAAAUUCUAUUUGUUCAAUCGAUUCUCCCUUAAACCAAAAUUUUAGUAUCAUUUUAUAAUUUAUAAAAUUAAGCAUCUAAAUUAUAUAUAAAUAACAUCUAAUAUCUAAACAAAACAUAUAAUAAAAAUCAAUUUUAAAAAAAUAAAUAUAAGUAAAUAUUUAAUAAAAAUUCUCGAAGGAGUAAUAUAUAUGAUUGAUUAAGAGGACUAAAUAAUUAUUAUUGAAAAUAAUAUAUAAUAAUUUAAAAAUAUAUUAUUUAAGUUUUGUUCAUCUUCGAUUAAAUUAAAAUAUCGAUUCAAAACUUUAAAUAUGGAAAAUAAAAGGAACAAAUUGAACUAACAAAUGUUUAAUAAUGGAAUAGACGGUUGACCGAAUUGAUUAAACUCAAACUCAAUUCGGUUCAGUUAUAGUCCUGUAUACACUAUUGUUGCAUCAUGCAUGUAGCCCAAAUCACCAUUGCGUACAACACCAAAGGAUAAGAACAUGGGAGUGACAUAUUUUACAUCAAGCUAAGGCAGCUACAACUUGCUUUCUUGUCCUUGGUUAAAGCUCUGUCACCUAGUCUAUGCAGCUACAACUUGUAGCCUGACUAUGGUUCUUAGGUAAUCCAAAGACUAGUUCCAGUUUUAUUCCGUUGCAACUCAUCUGUCUGUAGGAAGUAUUAGCUAGAUUCCCUCCAUUAUUUUUACUUAUUUUUGUGAUUUUCUAGCUUUAAGAAAGAGACAGGGCAGCCUAAGGGAGAACUGGGAACUACUUGCUAUCAUCAGCAACUAUAUAGUUUACGGUAAAAAAAAGAAACUAAAUAUAGUUUCCAAAUGAAAAUAUAUACUUAAAAUAUGUAAUUACUCCAAAAAAUUGUUUAUAUGGUUUUUAAGUUAAAUAAAUUCAGAAAAAGAUAAGUUACUCCCUAUAGAUAUAAAUUAAAAUAGGCACAUAACUGAUAUAGAAUUUUGUUUUUAAUUGUUCAAUUCUCAUUGAACUUAAAUCUAAUAAUUUUAUAUACGAUACGAUAAUAAGAUACAAAUUUAAUCGUGUGUCAAACUUACUUAACUUAACUCAUUUAGGACAUGAUUAGUUAAUUAUGUUAUCGUUUAUAUGUACAACCCAUUAUUUAUUUAUUAUUUAUUUAUUUAAUUAUAUUCAUGUGUCGUGUAAAUAUGUUUAGUACAUAGUUAAUACCAAUUUAUUAAUCCAUAUAAAUACUAAUAUCUUUAUGAUGAUUAAGAUUUAUUGAUAUUAAAUAUUAUAAUAUUUGAUAAAUAUUAUGAUAUUUAUAAUAUUUUAUAUAAAUUUAAAUAAUAAAAUUUUAUUUUAUUUGUACUUAUUUUAAAUUAAUCAUCUUAAUUAUGUUAAUCGUAUCAAUCGUGUAAAUAAGUUAUAAAUAAUAUAAAUUUCAAUGGUAUUAAUUAUGUCGUGUCGCAUAAAAUUUAAUCUAACAUUUAAUAAACGUGUUAAUCGUGUCGUGUCAUAUUAUACAUUUAUUAAAUGUAUGCGUGUAUGUGUUUAAGAUCCUAACACGAUUAAUUAAUCGUGCUGUGUUCAUGUUUUUCCGUAUAACUAUUAAUACCUUAUGUUUACAUGAUAUGGUUAAGAUACGAAAAUACGAAUUCUCCAAGUUUACUUCAUAGUGAACGAAAUAACAAGGUAUGAAUCAUAAUUAUUAAAUCGAUAUACAUAUUGUAUAUCGAAAUUUUAUUUUUUUAGUAUUGAGUAUCGUAUCGUAAGAUACAGUAAAAAAUUUUAAAAUUAAUUAUAAAUAACAUUUAUAUAUGUAAAAUAAAAAAAUUGAAAAAUAUUAUGUUUUUUAACAGAAUUGAAGAUUAUGAGACAUGAAUUGAAACAAUGAUUUUUUUUUAAUUUAAACUUUCAACAUAUUCCUUCAUAAUAUAGAUUUUUAAAUAAAAUCUAUACAUUUGUAUAUUAAUUUAUUAAUUAAAAAUUAAAAAACAUUUAUUAUGUUAAAAUUAAAAAGGAAAUUCAAAAUUUUUUGUUUAAAAUAUAAAAAUUGUAACUCAUAAAGUAUAAUUUUUCAUGUUUCAACUCAAAAUAAUAAUAAAAAUAAAAGUUUUAAUAAUUAAUUAAAAUUAAGUUUAUAAAAAGUGUAUCAAUUGUAUUGUAUGGUAUACUCCCAUAUUAUAAGAUACAUAUAGCGUAACUUACGGUAUACUUCGAUACAUAAUCAAAUGCGAUAUAAUUAUAAAUACGUAUAAUUUUUUACUAAUAUUAUAUCGUUCCAUAUGUAUCACGUAUUGUAUGAUAAUGAUAACUAUGGUAUGAAUUAGAGGUGAUAAUUGGAUCGAGUCGUUUUGAGUCAGAUCAUUUUGAGUUUAAAAAAAUUUGAGUCAUUUUAUGUUAAAGUCAUUUAUGGGUCAUGUUAUUUGAAUUUGACAAUUGAGUUAUUCAAGUUCCGAUCAUUUUAAAUUUAAAUUAUUAACUUUUACAAAUAAAUCAAAUUAAAUUUAGACAAAUAAUUCAAAUCAAUUUAUACUUUAUCAACCACAAUUAAAUUAUUUAAAAUCAUAUUUUUGCCAACUUGUAGCACACUUCCAAUUUUUAUAUUUGAUAUCAUAAAAAUAAAUUUUUUAAAAAAUAAUUAAAUCAUAUGAAAAGAAAAAAUAACUGAAUUAAAAGUUGUUUACUAAUUUAAAAAUAUUUUAUAUAAAAAAUUAAUAAUUUGCUCUCGAUGAAAACUAUUUUUAGUGAUUUUUAUUGAUUGAUAUUUAAUUUUUAUUUUUAUUACAAUUAUUAAUAUUAGUGAUUCACCGUUAUUAUAAUUAUAGCUUAAAACUUACAAAAUCAAAUAUAAAUUCAAAAAUUUGAACUGGUAUUAAUUUAUUUUUCGAAUAUUAAAAUGUUAUUGAGGUAAAAGAUAAAAAAUAUUUGAAAAUUUGAUAUAAAUAACAUUUAGUUCUCUCUUUAACUAGUUGUAAGAACUAAGAUUUAUCAUAAGUUUAACUGAUAUGUAAUAAUGAUUUUUUUCUUAGUGGCAUGAAUUUUUUUUAAAAAAAUUCAAUUUUCAUUCAAUUGCAUUUUAAUAAGUUGUGAUUUUUUUUUGAAUAAUUACGUAAUUUUAUUGUUGGAUGUCAUAGUUUAAAUUACCAUGAACUAUAAAAGUAAAAGCAUUAAAAAGAAACCCUUAAAUAUUAUUUUUCGAAUUUAGGGAUGUCCAAGAUGAUUACAAUAGAAACAGAAACCAAGAUUGAAUGAAUCUGAAUCUCCGUUGCUGUACCAACGCGUAUCCAAAUGAAAUUUGAUCAUUACAGAAUAUCUAUUUGAGGUGAAAUAAACAAAAUGUUUACAAAUAGAUAUUAAAAUUAACUUUAUUUAAUUAAUUGUUAAAUAUGUUUUAGCUUAAGAGCUAGUUUUUUUAAAAAUUAUUAUUACUUAUUCAAAUUAUUUAUUUCAUUGUUUUUUAAGAGUGAAAAAAAAUUAUUUAUGAUAUAUUAUUGUAAAAAUGAAAACGGCUUAAAUUUGUUUCCAUAUUCAUAAUUUAAGAAAAUAAUGUCCAAAAUAAUAUAAAAAUACAAAAGUAAAAAAAAAAUAGAUUUUUAAAGAUAAUUUAAAAUUAUUAAAUAUUGAUAUAUUAAUAAAUUAAUAUUAUUUAAAAAUAAAUAUAUACUCAAUUUAAACUCAAAUCUAUACAAAUUAAUUGUUCCAAUUACUCAAGUUCAGAUAAUUUGAAUUUAAGUUGAACAAGUUAAUUAAUUUUGACCACCGGACGAGUUUUUGAAAUAGGGAUCAAUUCUAAGCAUUAACUAUUGAGUAGGUUAAAGUUUUUUUUUUCUAAAAAAAAGUAGCUUCUAUACAUAGUUAGCCCGAGAGGCAAUGACCGAGGACUUUGCAUUGAAGUAACGUCUCCAGCUUCAUUUGGAUUUAACAGUCAGGUUUCCCAUUUCCUUUUUCCUUCCCUUGCUUUCCACACAGGAAAAACUUAAUAUUACAAUUCCAACACAUUCAUAUGUUAUUGAGAACCUAUUAGCAGCUGCUAUUUGCUAGUAACACCAUUAAUCCAAGUAGGUUCACCCAAAAGAGAAGGAAAAACCAUUCCAAGUGGAAGGGAUUAUACCCAUCUAGCAAGCCAUUUUAGAGCUCUUCUGAAUUCGCAGAAAAAUGUUCAAAGUCAACAGUUAUGCUGUGGCUCUCCUGACAAUAUCCUACUGCUAGAGCUUGAUUGACUGUGUAAUGGCAAACUCUGAAUCACCACUUAAAGAGAAUAAAACUACUAACAAAAUCAUGGAUCCUUUUUGUAAUCACCAUGUCUUCAAUCUGAAUAACAAAUAGUAAAACAUUUUUAAUUUACAUUGCAGAUUCGCUAUUAAUCUACCAUAAAUAAGUAGACUCCAUAUACUAUACCCUCCCUUUAAGGUUAUCGUCAGGGUCCUGAUCAUCAUGGACAUGCAAAUGAGCAUCCUUUUUGCACAUACAACUUUAAGCUUGUAAACUAAAAACUGAAACACUGUUUCUAUUCACCUCAAAGCCUACCCUUAUAAUUUUUAGAAGCCAAAAAGCAAAAGAUCACCCUGCCGAAGAUCCUACAUAAACUUGUUGAUUUACAAACAAAGCUCAUUCUUGAUAAUUACGCACUUCAUUAAUGAAUAUCAAAUGAAAACUUGCAACUCCAACAAGUACUGCCAGCAACUAUGAGCAAAAAUAACAAAAUACAUAAAUAACACAUUACCAAAAAUACUUGAUUUUUAUUUCAUAGCAAAGCUCAGGAGGAAUAGACGAAAAAAGAGAAGAUGGGAGGAUUGAUCAAGAUUAAAAUAAAAAAUUAUGAUCAAAAUAAAAAGAAAAAUAUUUUAAAUUCUUAUGCAAGAACUAAAAAGCCUUGCAAGGUCAAGAAAAAAUUAUAAAAUAAAAUAAAAAAAAAAGCUCAGCAAGGAUAGCACCAUCAAAAUUUUGAAAUGUGCUUCAUUUUACACUUGUGUCGAAAGCCAAGGCACUGAGAUUCCUCCUGGCACAUCUCAAGGAGGCAUAAACGGAUGUCUGGUUCCAUUGAAAAUAACCUCAUGACCAUCAGUGAGCAGGAGCAUGAUAAAGAAAAGACAGGGAGAGAAUUAGGAUGUGAGAAUAUCAUGUAAUAUUAUGACAUUUGGGUAAGCUGUGAAGUGAUAUAAAUAGGCAUGAAGAGAUGCUUGUUGAAGUGAUAUAAAAAAGAGAGGAAAUAGAUGAUAUCCGGAAGGUGCUGACAUUCCAAAAAUAUGUUUAGUUUCCAGCAAAGAGUCAAAAGAAAGCCAUCAGACUUGUGGACCCAAAACCCACGUCUUAAAAAAAAACAAAUAAAACGACAAUAGAAACUCUCGGUCAUCAGCCUUCAAUUUCUUUUUUUUUUAAGUUUAAAGUAAGAAAGGAGGUUUUCUCUUUUUCUAUUCUUCGCUCUUCUCUCUCCCCACAUGAGAAGUCUACAAAUACCAUUAUCAACAGUUAAAUCGGUGACUGAUUUGAGAGAAGAGAGCGAAACAAGUACAGGGAACAGCAGUGCAAGCAACGUGACUUAACCAGCACUAAUAGCAUCUGUCUCUGCCUCUCUCAUCUGUUUUCACAUCUUUUACCUUCUCAGUUACGUUAUUUUGGAAGAAUAAGGAGCAUGGGAACUCGGAUUUUCAAGGUUCCUUUCGGUUUGAGAAAGCAAAAAGCAAAAAAAAAAAAAAAAAAAAAAUAGGGAGAUUGACCUUGUAUGGUGUUGCAAUCAAUACGUAAAAAAGAAGAAUGGUAACAUGCAGUCUUGCUCUGUCUUUUUCUCGCAGUUACCUCUCCUGUACAAGUCUUCAAAGCCUCCUUCGAAUUUUGUUUUCACAACCUGUCCACGUUGCCUGUAGUUUCCAAUAGUAUCUCUCUCCUUACAGUGCAUUUUCACCGUCAUUUUAAUUCAAAACCUAAUUAGUAAUUGUUUUAGCCACAUGUAUUUAUCAGUUAGUAACUUAUUUCUAUUUACCAUAACCCUCAUGAUGAAAGAGUGGCAGAGCACAGAGUGGCAGACUUCAUAUCAUAUAUAGAAACGAUAAUUAAAAACCCCUGGACACAAAAUAGUGUAUGACCUUGUCGACUAACGAGUCUUCAAACUCAGCCAAUAUAGCUAGCUAUAUCAUUUUAAGAUUCAAGUUUGUUCAUGGGAGGUGUUGUGAGCUUUUCUCAGAGAUGAGCUGCACGAGUCUUGGAAUGACUUAUGAACACACAAAAACCAAUGUUGGAUACAUAGACUGGCAAAGAAGAUCUUUUGGUGCUUUUUGGUUUUUAUUUUUUGGGUGAUAAAAUACAUAAAACAGCUUUGCGAUUAAAGGCUGGCCACAGGCAGAUAAUACUAGUUUCUUUCUUUUGUAAUUUCCCUGGCACCCUCAUUUGCAUUAGAAUAGGAACCAGGGUUUUAUUGGAGAGUUUCUUGGCUUCAAUUUUUGAAGCAUGGAGAUAGGAAGGAGCAAUUAUUCCAGGGUGACAGACUAUAGUAUAGUGUAAGAAGGGAAACUUUUAGGCUCCACGCUCCCGCUAAACAAAAUAACCUGCACUUCUCAGAUCGGAUGAAGAUGAAUAGAUCAGCCCUUGGCAGGGUCCGAGAGAUCAGAGAGUGGUAAAUGGAAGAGACGAAAUGGAGCGUGGGCGUUGAGGGUGAGGAUCUUUCUCUGCCAUAGCUUUUACUCUUUGUAAUCAUCACAACCUUUAUGAUGUGACAACACAUGGUCAAGUCAUCAGUCACGCUCUCUCAAACUUGUUUGGUUUGGCUUUGUUGUUUCUCUCUCAUCUUCAUCUAACAAAAUCGCCUACGUAAGAAAGCAAAGAUUCAAGGCAUAACGCUAGUAGCUAGCACAGUAGCAAUACUAGUGCCCCAUAAAAGUGCUAGGUACAGCUUCGGGGGGGCUGGGGGCACCCCUCUCCUGCCGCCCGCAUGUGUGAGCCUGAGCUUAUUUCCAUCUUGCAAAUUAAAGCUCCCUGAUCUUUCUGCCUCUCCCUUUUUCCCUCUCAAUUUCAAGAUUUGCACCGUUGUAAUUAGGGGUAAUAAUGCACCUUCUGCUUUUGUGGUCCGUGUACUGGCUGCAGUAUUAUGCCACUCAUUAAUUGUUUUCUUCCCUAGUGGAGCGGUGGGUGUGAGGGUUAACUGCUUAUAUUUAUUGCCCUGUUAGCUUCGAAUGUUUUUUUUCCCACAUGGCCUUUUUUUUUUUCAUGAUAGCUUUUCGAAAUAGAGCAACUAGUUUUGGUGGAAGGCUAUAUAUGAUUACAACGCCAGGUAAAGCUGUAAAAGACCAUUUCGCUUGGCCUAAUUUAUCAGAUUAGAGCUAUAAUGUAAAUUCUUCGGAAGACUUGUCAGUUGACAUUUCAUGGCAGGCAAAACUUAUAGUACUAGUUAAAUACUUAAUUAGUUCCAUUUGAUGUAGUUAUUAUUGUUAUCAACAUGUAUAAGAAAUUUCUGUGCUUGGUAGGAUCAAGUACUGAAGAGAGGCUUGACUGGCUGGUAAAAACUGAAAAGAAAGAUGAGGUCACCUAAAGGAGGCUCACGAGGCUGCAGAUUGUGCACUCUGAUAUCGGUGUUGGAUGAAUAAAAAGCGUUAUGGCCCAAGGAAUAUGUUCGACAUUCAUUCUGUAUUUGACAGGGGAAUAACAUAACCCAAAAAUUUAUGGGUCUUUAGUCUUUAUUCUUACAGGACGACUGCAUUAAUUAACUCUUCUUGGUCUUGACGGCCACCUUAGGCCUGCAAGUCCACCUAUAUAUAUAUAUUUGAGUAGCUAGAUUAGGAGUUUGGACCCGUAUUCAAUGAAUUUAGGGUUAGCUUUGAAACUUUGAACAAAAAGAAAAUUAGGCAUGAUGAAUUAUAGAUUAGGCUCGACUCCUUUGUGUACUGAUUACAGAAGUAAAGGCCGG